AUGCACCUUGGAAAUCUCGUCCUCACUGUCUUCCUGGGGCAACUGCUGGGCACCAUGGGGCAGACCACCGUCACCCAGCAAGAAGGACAAGUCACAGUGAAGCAGGGAGACACCUUCCAAACAACCUGCACAUACCAGACCUCUGAAUUUGGCGGCUUGCUCUGGUACCAGCAGAGGAAAGGCCAAGGUCCCCAGCUGCUCUCAUAUCAGGCAGCAGCUGGCCGCAAGCCGAGCGGCCGUCUCACCACGUCGCUGAACACCACAGGGAAAUACAGCCUCCUGCAGCUGGAGGAAGUCGAGGUCUCUGACAGUGCCUUGUACCUCUGUGCUGUGCAAGACACCCUGGUGCAGGGAGCUUCCUUGGCUGUGCAAGAAGCCAGGGGAGGGAGGACAUCAGUUUACGCAGACAGGGUCUUACAUGUUCCCAUAGCACACUACAUGAAGGUGUAG
Non-coding RNA from Gymnogyps californianus (California condor), 450 nucleotides. Lineage: Eukaryota; Metazoa; Chordata; Aves; Accipitriformes; Cathartidae. The record is from the annotation of a RefSeq genome assembly.